This 329-nucleotide ribosomal RNA is filed under the name uncultured bacterium. RNAcentral describes it as "bacterial SSU rRNA". It matches the Rfam family "Bacterial small subunit ribosomal RNA", at positions 28 to 334 of the family's 1533-position model. The record is from RNAcentral.
GACGAACGCUGGCGGCGUGCUUAACACAUGCAAGUCGAACGAGAAGAGAUGAGAAGCUUGCUUCUUAUUGAUUCGAGUGGCAAACGGGUGAGUAACGCGUAAGCAACCUGCCCUUCAGAUGGGGGACAACAGCUGGAAACGGCUGCUAAUACCGAAUACGUUCUUUUUGUCGCAUGGCAGAGGGAAGAAAGGGAGGCUCUUCGGAGCUUUCGCUGAAGGAGGGGCUUGCGUCUGAUUAGCUAGUUGGAGGGGUAACGGCCCACCAAGGCGACGAUCAGUAGCCGGUCUGAGAGGAUGAACGGCCACAUUGGGACUGAGACACGGCCCAG